This 497-nucleotide ribosomal RNA is filed under the name uncultured bacterium. RNAcentral's name for it is "partial 16S ribosomal RNA". It matches the Rfam family "Bacterial small subunit ribosomal RNA", at positions 28 to 507 of the family's 1533-position model. The record is from RNAcentral.
GAUGAACGCUGGCGGCGUGCCUAAUACAUGCAAGUCGAGCGAACAGACGAGGAGCUUGCUCCUCUGACGUUAGCGGCGGACGGGUGAGUAACACGUGGAUAACCUACCUAUAAGACUGGGAUAACUUCGGGAAACCGGAGCUAAUACCGGAUAAUAUAUUGAACCGCAUGGUUCAAUAGUGAAAGACGGUUUUGCUGUCACUUAUAGAUGGAUCCGCGCCGCAUUAGCUAGUUGGUAAGGUAACGGCUUACCAAGGCAACGAUGCGUAGGCGACCUGAGAGGGUGAUCGGCCACACUGGAACUGAGACACGGUCCAGACUCCUACGGGAGGCAGCAGUAGGGAAUCUUCCGCAAUGGGCGAAAGCCUGACGGAGCAACGCCGCGUGAGUGAUGAAGGUCUUCGGAUCGUAAAACUCUGUUAUUAGGGAAGAACAAAUGUGUAAGUAACUAUGCACGUAUUGACGGUACCUAAUCAGAAAGCCACGGCUAACUACGUG